This is a long non-coding RNA of Macrobrachium nipponense, 565 nucleotides long. RefSeq lists it as uncharacterized. The transcript is spliced from 3 exons. The record is from RefSeq and is a predicted model, not a curated record. NCBI's taxonomy places the organism in Eukaryota, Metazoa, Arthropoda, Malacostraca, Decapoda, Palaemonidae.
GCGUGGUGGGUAUGUACAUUCGUUUGUACGUUCAUAACCGGUUCAGCCGUUCGAGGCACUUGAGGAGGGAAAGACACGUUCCUUUGUGAUAAGAAGAUAGACAAUCAAGAAGGACACCAGGGGUUGAGGGAAAACCCAUCUCAAGGCAUAGUGGGAGGUGCUAUCCAGGAGAAAGCUUGAAAAGGCCUUGAAUCCAGGAGAGCUCUCAGAAGACGACAAUACCUAGGCUAGGUUAGACCACUGGGCCCUUACCAGACGCCACUGUGCUCCCCCCACCUUCCUGGGCCUGAGUUUCCCAUGCUUUGGGAAGCCCAAGUAUAUUUUUAAAGUCCAUAGUGUCCAGACUUAGAGAAGAAGACAUCUUGCAUCCUCACUAAAGACAAACGCUGUGCCUGGCUGUGGUAGAACUUGGAAGUCCUUCAAGCUUGCAAUUUUGCUCCGUUGCGCAAUUUUCAUAAACACGUGACCAUGCUGCUCCCCCACGUGUUCGGGUGGACUGAGAGAACUUCACCUACCCUUGUGUUUCCUGGACCUCUGUAAAUUUAUGUAAAUACAGUGCUUUUAA